AGUCUGAUCCUGGCUCAGAUUGAACGCUGGGCGGCAGGCCUAACACAUGCAAGUCGAGCGGAAACAGGAAAGUAGCUUGCUACUUUUGCUGUCGAGCGGCGGACGGGUGAGUAAUACCUAGGUAUCUGCCCAGUCGUGGGGGAUAACAGUUGGAAACGACUGCUAAUACCGCAUACGCCCUACGGGGGAAAGGUAAAGGGGGCUUAGGCUCUUGCUUUAGGAUGAACCCAAGUGGGAUUAGCUAGUUGGUGAGGUAAUGGCUCACCAAGGCGACGAUCCCUAGCUGGUCUGAGAGGAUGAUCAGCCACACUGGAACUGAGACACGGUCCAGACUCCUACGGGAGGCAGCAGUGGGGAAUAUUGCACAAUGGGCGAAAGCCUGAUGCAGCCAUGCCGCGUGUGUGAAGAAGGCCUUAGGGUUGUAAAGCACUUUCAGUCAGGAGGAAAGGUUAGUAGUUAAUACCUGCUAGCUGUGACGUUACUGACAGAAGAAGCACCGGCUAACUUCGUGCCAGCAGCCGCGGUAAUACGAGGGGUGCAAGCGUUAAUCGGAAUUACUGGGCGUAAAGCGAGCGUAGGCGGCUGAAUAAGCUGGAUGUGAAAAACCGGGGCUCAACCUCGGCCGUGCAUUCAGAACUGUUUAGCUAGAGUCUUGUAGAGGGGGGUAGAAUUUCAGGUGUAGCGGUGAAAUGCGUAGAGAUCUGAAGGAAUACCAGUGGCGAAGGCGGCCCCCUGGACAAUGACUGACGCUGAGGUUCGAAAGCGUGGGUAGCGAACAGGAUUAGAUACCCUGGUAGUCCACGCCGUAAACGAUGUCUACUUGUUGUUUGUAUCCUUGUGAUGUGAGUGACGAAGCUAACGCGGUAAGUAGACCGCCUGGGGAGUACGGCCGCAAGGUUAAAACUCAAAUGAAUUGACGGGGGCCCGCACAAGCGGUGGAGCAUGUGGUUUAAUUCGAUGCAACGCGAAGAACCUUACCAUCCCUUGACAUCCAGAGAAGAUAGCAGAGAUGCUUUUGUGCCUUCGGGAACUCUGAGACAGGUGCUGCAUGGCUGUCGUCAGCUCGUGUUGUGAAAUGUUGGGUUAAGUCCCGCAACGAGCGCAACCCCUAUCCUUAGUUGCCAGCACGUAAUGGUGGGAACUCUAAGGAGACUGCCGGUGACAAACCGGAGGAAGGUGGGGACGACGUCAAGUCAUCAUGGCCCUUACGAGUAGGGCUACACACGUGCUACAAUGGUGAGUACAGAGGGAAGCGAACUUGCGAGAGUAAGCGGAUCCCUUAAAAGCUUGUCGUAGUCCGGAUUGGAGUCUGCAACUCGACUCCAUGAAGUCGGAAUCGCUAGUAAUCGUAGAUCAGAAUGCUACGGUGAAUACGUUCCCGGGCCUUGUACAGCACACCGUCCCGAUCACACCCAUGGGAGUGGGUUGCACAUAGAAGUAGAUAGCUUAACCUUCGGGAGGGCGUUUACCACGGUGUGAUUCAUGACUGGGGUGAA
This 1496-nucleotide ribosomal RNA is filed under the name uncultured prokaryote. Its description in RNAcentral is "partial 16S ribosomal RNA". It matches the Rfam family "Bacterial small subunit ribosomal RNA". The record is from RNAcentral.